This is a long non-coding RNA of Heterocephalus glaber (naked mole-rat), 8819 nucleotides long. The record is from Ensembl. Lineage: Eukaryota; Metazoa; Chordata; Mammalia; Rodentia; Bathyergidae.
UGUCCAGCAGGACAUUGACACUGGCACAGUACAGUGUACUAGAUCACAGAGCUAACUGGAGUUUCACCAGGUUUUGCACAUGCUCAUUUAUGUGUUUGUUACGGUCCUGUUGCGGCUGAUAUCCCAACCACUUGUCGGGUUGAUAGCCUGACCCAUUACCAGGGGAUGUCCAGUCUCCUGAUGAGGGGAAAGAAAGGGGAUAAAAAAAUAACACACAGAGAAUAAAGAACAAUAAUUUAUUACUGGGGGGUGAUCUUUAGCUCUCUCCUGGCUAAAGACCACCUGAUCUCAGCUCUGUCCUGGCUAUGAUCACGAGCUCUGGAGUAGUCAGUCUUUAUCACUAUACAACAUAGCAAGGGGAAUGAAGGCAAAUGUAGGGAGUAGAACUAAUGCACUUAAGGAGCCAGGCUUGGAAAAAGGGAGUAACUGUGUAUUCUUGUGAAGGCCAGGUCACAGUUAACAAGGCCCCUGUGCUAUCUUGCACAUCAUAGCUAACGAGCCACCUGCAUCAUCUGUAGCUAAUGUUUGAUCUUGGAAAAAUGGUUAUGUGGAGUCAUAAUUCCCCAGCUGCAGUGUUUCCUUGCUAUAGAAACAUCACAACCUCACCAUCACUGAGACCAAAAUUGUGACCAUUGCCAUAAGGAAGUCUGUCUCCGAACACCAGCCAAAAGGUAAAUUAGAAAUUCACACUUAGGCCUUGGAAUGACUCAAUCUUAAUCAAUAGCUGAAUUUAUAAGCCAAAUCAAUAUCUGAAGCCUGCUCAGUGUGGUUUCAAGCUGGUCUGUUGCAUUCUUUGACACUUUAUCGCAUGUACAAGUUCACGGAACCAUCAUGACAACCAAGAGUUUUCUCUCAUCACAGAGUGACUCCCUGCUAUCAAUCUUUCAGAGUCCCUUGCUUCCCCUAAACCUUGGAAACCCCAAAGCCUACCUCUGCAUCAUCUCUAUAAUAUUGUUAUUUCAAGAAUAUUUCAUAUAUGGAAUUGUUACCAAUCAGCUGAGUGAUCUUUCCCUCAAUUCAGACAAAUCAUAAUAGGCAGAGUGCAGCUCCCUUGAUGGUACCUGGGCUCUGAGCAGGGCCUGUUAGCUCUUAGCAUUACAGAUCUUAGUGUCAUGGCUCUUGCAGCCCCUGCAGCUACCUGGAGCUCUUCCAGCAGCUCCUGCAGCCUCAUCCGGGCUCUCUGCAGGUUCUGCCAGUUGGCACAGGUUUCUGUCAGUCACUGGCAGUUGCCACUGUUCUUGUUUCAUCACUCUUUGGAAAUUUUCAGGGUUAAUAACCCACAGUAUUAUCAGCUCUUUUAAGUACAACCCACUCAGCCCAGUCUAUCCAAGAUAAGAUUCAUGAGUAGGCAUUCGGAGCACCCAGGCAAGGCCUUUCAUAGGACCUGUGCUGCAUCACAGGGGAACAAUGGAGUGCAGUGGAGGGAGCCCUCUGGGAAUAGCCUUAGGAUCAUGAGGGAGUGUUGCUUAUAGAGGGGGGCCUCCAUGCAUUUUUUUUCCAUACUGCAGGCCUAUUUGGGGACUUUCAGAGUAAUGACUGACAGAGGGGACCAGGGGUACAUGAAGGUUACAGGCUGGAGUCAUCUGGGGUAGGAAAACGUUUCAAGUCUGCUGUGGCCAAGGGAGACGCCUCCCAAGCAGAGGUUGAAUGUCUAGGUCUGCUACCCAAGCGUUCAAGUACUGGGGCUUGGUCUUCAGUGUGCAGUGCUGGGAGGCAAUGGGACCUUUAGAGGUGGAGCCUUGCAGAAGCUCCAAGACUGGUCCUGCUCUGCGUUGUCCUCCUGUCUUGCCGGGUGAUCACUCCCUCGCACAUGCACUCUUGCCAUGCUGCCAGCCACCAUGUGAUGCAGACACAGAGGCCUCACCAGAACCUGCACCAUGCUACGUGGACUUUCAGCUCCCAAAAUUGCAAGCUAAAUAAACUUGUUACCAGCCUCAAAUAUUCCACUAUAGUAACAGAAAGUUAACUAACAUAAGCAGUGAAGGAAAGAUGAUGAGUCAGGAGCAAACCCUUGGGAAAGGGGCAGCAUCUACUACUGGGUUCCACCCAGCACACACUGCAGGGGUGGAGAGGAAACAUGGACCAUUCACCUGCAAGGGACUCUAGGUCAGUAACCCCUCCUGCAUGGAGGAUGGGUCAGGCAACCCAGGCACUGCCAACCCUUUGCUGGUCCAGUAGAGAAGCCAAAGAAACCAGGGAUGAAGUGUUACCUAAGGGCCCAAUGAUACUAAGGGGCAAGAGGACAAACACUGGCAAAACACAAAUGGAGCCCUUUAAUUCCAGCUGUGGGUUCAGAGCACACAUAUUCAUCACGAGUACUUGAGUGCUCAUAUUGAAUACCCUGAUCCCAAAGUUUUUUAAGUCAAGUCUGCCGUGGGCAUGAGGAUGUGCAUUUCUAACACCUUCUUGGGCAGUGCUGCUGCUGCUGCUGCUGGGCUGGGGUCUCCACUCUGAGAAGCGCUGGCUACAUCAAGCCAACUCUAAUCCAUGACGCAUCUUCAGAGUUAAAAAAUAAAUAGCUAAGGAUGAGAAGACAGAAUUUACGAGAAGAGUAAUGAAUGGCCAGUCCCCUCAUCAAAGUGUCAAAACACAGGGUAAAACUAAAGAAAAUCAUACGGUAUCAGCCUAAGAAUGAGCAAGUCGGGCCGGGGAUUUAGCUCAGUGGUGCCACCGCCUGCUUCGCAAGCACAAGUUCCUGAGUUCCAUCUCCGGUACCAAAAAAAAAAAAAAAAUGAGCAGGUAACUGAUGAAACAAAAAAGAUGACCAUGAGAACAUAGUCAAUAUACAAAGUCAACAUGUGAUAGAGGGUGCCGCAGCACAGCCUCAUCCUCUCCGCUGGGGACUUGGAUUAGAUGGAGGGAGAUGCUGAGUCCCAACUGGUCUGUCCGCUGUGUCUUUUGACUGCUUUCGUAUUUUCUCUUUGCCUAGCAUUAUGGAUCCAUUUUUAUCAUCUACCUUCUGACUCACUGAUCCUCUUUCACACCCUACUUAUAACCACCGACCUGUGUGCUGCUGGCCCUGGGCAGAGCCUCCCGGGCCUGCUUGCUACCCUCCCCUCCUGCUUCUGCCUCUCCACAGGUGCAGCCCUCUCUACCCCAACCUCCACUCCUUGGUCACCUCCCUCCUCCCGGGGUAGAGAAACAUGGUGCAUCCACGUGAACCACUCAGGCAUGUGGGCACCCAGCCCCUCAUCAACACUGGUGGGACUGGCCCUGCGGCCUUCACUGAUUACUCGAAGCCCUCCCAAUUCAAAAUUCUGGACAGGUGAGGCUAAGGUUCUCCUGGGUCCACAGCACGGCCCCUCCCGGGCGCCCUCUCUGCAGACGGACACCACAGACGCGGCUCGUAGCACAUGGUACUCUUUAUUGUGACUCUCAGUGGAAAACAUCUGUAAACCAGCUUGCUGUAGUGGUGGCAGCUGCAACACAUGCUAAGGCACUUUGUAUUAUAUAAAAGGGGGUGGCUCGGAGUUCCAUUCACUCCUUUGAGACAGCAACUGGGACCUGAAUUCAGAGCUUUUUAGGCAUAUGUAGCUUCAUGAUUUGAGUUUGUUUCCUUUUUUUAAAAAAAAUGCCUUCUUGCCAUAAGUAAGUCUAAAUGCAGCAUAUACAAAACAGUUAGAAAUACAAGUAAAUUCAGCAACCAGUGUAGACCAGUGUAGGACAAGCUACUCUCUUCUAAACAUGGUUCCAAAGGAAAUGCAGUGACAGACUCAGAAUUGUAUCAUUUAUUACAAGAAGGGGAGAAAAGAAAACUUUUUUUUCCUUUCAAAAAUAAUCUGUGCAGGUGGCAGAUUUUCAAUUGUACGGAGUCAACAGUGCAGAUAAGCUGCCCUCGGGCCCCAGCCCUGGAGGAGGCACAGGAUCACGUGGAGGGCCACCAGCCUUCUCUGGUGCUCUGGCUGCCAGAUCUGGGACAAGUCCCUUAACCAUUAAAUAUAUUUGGUCCCCAAGAGUGUUAGGAGAAGCCACCAGAAGGCUGCUGGCCCUUCCAGCACGGCCGACACCCUGUCUGCUUGGCCUGACAGCCUUGCUGUGCAGGGGCGGGCUGCCCUCGGCAAAGGAGGGGAGGUGGCAUUGCACUUGAGACAUCUUGGAAUCAGGAGGGGCGGUGACAGUGGCACUGCCCAGAGGGGGGUGGGGAGAGCCUCCCUUGCCCCCACAUUGUGUGCCCUGCACAGGGGUGGAACCCAGGGCCGCUCCAUCCGGACCACUCAGGGCCCAGGAGGGUGGGAGUCUGAUGGGACAGAGGCAUGAGGUCAGCACAUGUGAUUGCCAACAGCAGACAAGGGAGGAGGAGGGAGGAGCCGAUGGCGAGGCAGGGGGAAGGUCACAACGCUUCUGGGUGUCGGGCUAUCAAAACUCCUUUAGUCUGAAGAAAAAUAGACUCACAGAAAACGGCGGCUGGCCCCGCAGCCUGCCCACCUUGCCUCGCCACCGGUGCUUUCAGGCAAGAGAGGGUACAGACCUGCUGGUCACGCUUUCUGGGCAUGCGCCCGGCCCUGACUCUUUGGUAUCAGAUUCUCGGAGAGGGGAGGGGCUGGAGGGCUGCAGCCGAGGAAGCCAAUGCCCUCAACAGGGCUGGGGGAAGGGGUCCCGGUCACAGCAGUCCCUAGGCGAGGCGGGGCACUGCAGGGGCGGGGAGAGGUGCGGAGUCAUCUGUCCGUCCACGUCCACCAGGAGGCAGGAGAAGCGGCCUAUUCAGCAGGCUUGGCCUCGGCCCCAUCCACUUUGCCAUCCACCUCCUCGUCUGAGCAGUCGCCAGCACCUUUCCGGGCCAUUCGGCGGGGUACGACAAAGGGCAUGUCCCCACGCCUGAGGACAAAGGCAGAGGGUCAGCAGGGCCCGGCUGCGAGGGCGGGGCGGCAGCACACUGCACACAUUCAAAGCAGACCUUAGGUAGAAACCGGGCACUGCCCGUUCCUGUGAGGGAGAAGCAGCACUGCGCCUGGGGAGUCAUCACAGUGGGUGGGACAGAAGGACACCGGAGGAAGCAGGGCACCCUGCAAACCAGCGAUGCGUCGGACGUCUUAACACUAGCACGGAACAGGUCAGAAAAGCAGGAGGGAAGCACAAAAGCAGCUGAAGCUGCCUCCUGCAACAGGCGCCCCCUCUGAGCAAACUCCUUAUCAAACAAGCGGGGCUGGGCCCAACACUUGCCCCACAGUGCAGAGCCCUGGGCUCCAUCCCCCCUCCAAAGACAAAACAAAACAGGUAGAGACAGGAAUGACUGUUUACACAGGCACAAAGACAGCCAUCUUCAGAUCAUAGCUUAGAAAAUGCACCCUAAAAUACCGAUGACCAAGUCUGGUCUUUUUGCUCUUAGGCCUUAAAAAAAAACAUAGGCCCCAGCCACAGAUGGUGGCAUAUACCUAUAGUCCCAGCUAUUCAGGAGGCUGAGGCAAGAAGAUCGUGAGUUUGAGGGCAGCCUGGGUUACACAGCAAGACACUCUCUCCAACAAAAGGGGCAAGUGUGGUGUUGCACAUCUGGUAUCCCCACUGCUCAGGAGACUGAGGCAAGUGCAUCAAGUUUGAGGCCAGCCUUGGCAACUCAGCAAGACCCUUGCUCAAAGCAAAGACAAAAAGGACUGGGGAUAUUGCUCAGCAGCAGUGUGCUUGCCUAGGACACACGAGGUCCUGGGCUCCAUCACCAGUGGCGCCAAAAAGGUGGGAGAAGGAAAGAGCAAUGAGAUUCUUGGAGAAAGAGAUGACCUCCUGCAACCCCCUGACCCCUCUCGGAAGCUGCCUGUCCCUGAGGGGCGCUCAGCAGUUCCCCAACUUUCCCAUGCACCACAUGUCGGGCUGGCAUGCACCCUGCAGGUAUUUAUUUCCUAGGUGCCUGCUAUGUGCUAGGGAUGCAGCCAGGUGGCCUCCAGCAACUUCUGAUUCAAAGCUCCCAGCCUGGAAAUGUCCUCGUCAAGCCUGGAGCUUCUGGAAGGUGGACUUUUGAUACCAGCUGGGAAUAAAUCACCAGGAGUUUCCUGUGUGUUCCCAAGGCUGGGCUAAGGCCACAGAGGCCAGCAGAACCCGUGAAGGGCACGCACUGCUCUGCAACGGGCACCUUCCGGAUGAGUCCCUGAGCACCUGCCCAUGAGCCGCGGCGGAGAGCAGGGUCCAAGUGUCUACGGAGGGAACUCGGACCGCCGGUGUGACUCACCUCAGCUUGUUCUUCAGGGAGCUGACCUCCCGGUUCAUGGCGUCGGCCGUCUCCGUGGCGCCCUCCAGCUCGCGCUGCAGCUUCCGGCGGGAGGCGUUGGCCCGCUGGGCCUCUUCCUCGGCCUCCUCUAGCUGCCGCUUGAGCUGCUUCAGGCGCGUGGACGCCUUGUCAGCCUGCACAGACGGGCGGCCAGGGGACCCGGUUAGGGGCUCUGGUUGUGCGCCCGGCGGCCCGCCCGCCUGCACCCUGGCCCGGCUCUGCGCACACCUGGUCUUUGUACUGCUCCGCGCUUCUGCGCUCGUCAUCCACCUGCAGCAGCACGUCCUUCAGCCUCUUCUCGGCCCGCGCACCUGCUUGGAGGCUGCCUGCCGCUCCCUGCGCGGCACAGACACGUGGCUCGGGGACCUCCCCGGGGCUCGGCCAAGGAGCCUCAAGUUGCUGACCCCACAGGGUGGCCUCGAGGCCACGGGGCAGGUCUUCCCCGGACACCCGCUAGGUGGUGUGUCUCUGAGGACAGGCACUGUGAUUAUGGCCACUUUACAGAUGAGGCGACCGGGCCCCGAGGAGGCUAUUCAUGCAUGUGCAAAGGGAAUGGGGAACAGAGGGCUGGGACUCAGCGAGGUCCCCAUUACCCCCAGGAAGUGUCUCUCUGAGCCCACAGGCGGCUGACCAGGCGGGCAUGACAUUGCACCUCUCUACUGAAGCCCUCAAGGUCAACCUUCAACUCCGAGUCAAACCCCGAACCCCUCCAGCAAGAGGGACAAGGACUGCCCUGAGAGGAAGACAGCCCCUGGACCCAGGAGGCCAAGGACAGGCCCACAGCAAGGCAUACGGCUGCUCCAGGGGGCAGACAGAAAGACUGCCGCUGUGCGCCUGGCACCUGGGGGGGGGGGGGGGGGGGCACGUACUUGGUCUCGUUGUCCAGCUGCUCCUCCAGCUGGGCGAUCUUGGCCUCCAGGGCAGUGAUGGAGGCCUUGUACUUGGACUUCACAGAGCUCUCCAUCUCCUGCAGCUUGACCUUGAGCUCCUUGUUCUGACGCUCCAGCUGCUGCCUGGCAUUCUCGUUCUUCUGGGCGUGGCUGCGCUCCAGGUUCAGGUCGGUGUUGAUCUGGUCGAUCUGCAGGAAGGAAAACCAGUGGCCUUGAGUCGGGCUGGGCUCUGGCUACUACGACUGUUCACCACUGGGGCUAGAGAAAGGGGACAGGAAGAUCCCACCAGACGCUGCUCUCCCAAAAUGGGCCCGGAGACCGCCACGGGCACCAAGACAUUUCCCAGAAGCAACCAGGAACGAGUGAGCCCUCAGCCUCUGCCAACUGCUGCCUCUAUGUGCACAAGGAGCUCAGAUCCUGGGCCAGGAGCCCUGGUGUGGAAGGCGGCCCGGCCACCCUGGAGCCCACCUGCAGGUUGGCCUUCUUCAGCCGGUCGUUGAUCAGCUCCGUGUUGCCCUGCUCCUCCUCCAGCUCCUCCUCCAGACGUCGCUUCUCCUCCAGUGCCAGGGCUCUGGGGAGGGUGAGGAAAAUGAGGGGUCUGUGGGUGGGGAAGACACUCCAGCCCCACUCCUGGCUCCUCACUCAACUCACCCUUUGCCACUGCUGUUGGCAAUUUCGUCCGCCAGCUCAUCCCGCUCCUGCUGGGCCUGGCGCUUGGCACGCUCGGCAGCUGCCAGUUCCUGCCACGAGGACCCAGAAUGUGACCACUGGGACUGCCACGGCCUCCGUUCCCAGCACUCCACAGACACCUUGAGGUACUGCCCUCCCCAAGCCCCAACUCUCCUCUCUUCCACGAAGCCCUCCUCCCUGAACCUCUCUGGCUCACAAGGUGAGUCCUCCUCUGAGAUCACAGCUUUAAGUACCACAUGUUCACAGAACCCCUCCAAGUGCAAGGACUCAAGCCAGGUGUCAGAGAUACAAGAAACAUCCUGGCCUAAAAGAGGGGACAAGUAGACAGAUCCUCGGUGCUGGCUGCUUUGCAUUCCCGGCAGACCAGGGGUCAGGAGAUGGAGGCGUAAACCCAGGAUGAACCCUGAGGUCGCUUCACACCAGGUGCAGGGACAGGUUUCACUCAGAGGGGGAGGCAGCCUCCACAAGGGCCACAGUGACAGUGGAGGGAAAGAUCACCCCGGCCCCAGGAGAGCAGGGGAGGACGUUCCGGCCUCAGGUCUGGCUGAGCACCUCCUAAGCCAGAACAUCACACUGUAGGAGACCCUCUAGCAUGCUUUGCUAUGAGGCUGCCAUGUGACUGACAAGGCAGCCAAAAGGACACUCAGGCCCUCUUGAGGGAAUAAUUCACAGCGGGAGGUAUGAGUAUAUGAUUAUCACAAGGCCUCAGCACGCGGCCUGAACUGUCACAAUUUCACCUCCACACACAAUGACCACACAAGGGACCUCACUACAGAACGAAGCCCUGGAGGGAGCCCUUCCAACUCAUGCUGGAGUUUGCUCGCUUGCUUCCAGCCCUCCCACUUGCUAGGGCAGAUGGGCGAUGGCUCUGAGCUGCCGCCUGCUGGGUGUCUCCCCGGGGCCCAGCUCACCUCCUGCAGCUGAAUCAUCUCGGCCUCCAUGCUCUUCAGCUUCUUCUCGUUCUCCUUGGCCUGCGCCAGGAUCUCCUCCCGGGAGGCACGCGUGUCAUCCAGCUCGCGCAUGCAGUCCUUCAUCUGGGCCUG